Molecule: ribosomal RNA, 433 nt
Filed under: uncultured bacterium
Lineage: Bacteria
Description: partial 16S ribosomal RNA
Rfam family: Bacterial small subunit ribosomal RNA
Source: RNAcentral
AACGAACGCUGGCGGCAUGCCUAACACAUGCAAGUCGAACGAGACCUUCGGGUCUAGUGGCGCACGGGUGCGUAACGCGUGGGAAUCUGCCCUUGGGUUCGGAAUAACAGUUGGAAACGACUGCUAAUACCGGAUGAUGACGUAAGUCCAAAGAUUUAUCGCCCAAGGAUGAGCCCGCGUAGGAUUAGCUAGUUGGUGAGGUAAAGGCUCACCAAGGCGACGAUCCUUAGCUGGUCUGAGAGGAUGAUCAGCCACACUGGGACUGAGACACGGCCCAGACUCCUACGGGAGGCAGCAGUGGGGAAUAUUGGACAAUGGGCGAAAGCCUGAUCCAGCAAUGCCGCGUGAGUGAUGAAGGCCUUAGGGUUGUAAAGCUCUUUUACCCGAGAUGAUAAUGACAGUACCGGGAGAAUAAGCUCCGGCUAACUCCGUG